Long non-coding RNA from Coturnix japonica (Japanese quail), 5847 nucleotides. RefSeq lists it as uncharacterized. Lineage: Eukaryota; Metazoa; Chordata; Aves; Galliformes; Phasianidae. The record is from RefSeq and is a predicted model, not a curated record.
AUAGUGGUCAGCAGACUUAAGAGUCCUAACACCUGGGCAGAGUUUUUUAUUUCUACCAGCAAAAAGCAUAUUUCUCCAGUCAGUACCCCUGCUACACGUGCCAUGGUUUCUGUGGUUUUUUUUUUCCCUGGUGGUGCACAUGCAUUUGAUCCUUCCACCCUUUUGUUUCUCCUCACUCAUAGUGUCAGGAACAGUUUUGAUUACAUUAAGUUAUAGUAUAAUUAACUGCGAGGGAAAGGGAUUAAUGUUCACCAACCACAUUAAGUGUUUUCUUCCCUCCCUACCAGGAAAUCCAAUUUUGCAGUGCAUGCAAUCUGGUAACUCCACUCUCCUGCGUUCUUUGAACUGAAGGAAAACAACAGUGGAAAACCAAAGAGAACUUAAUACAAACAAACAGCACUAAACGAAAACAGAUGUCCAGGUGGAAGAAUAAGGAUAUAGCCCAGGACACAAAGACAACUCUUACCUUCUGCGUGUACCUGUGAAAGGAAGAACAUUAUCAUCAUGCUGCAAUUAUUUUCAUCACCUACCAUUUAGUGAAAGCAUGAUAAUCCACUUAUUCAAGACCAUUCUUGUCUCUUGAUAAGUCAACUACAAUUCAUUAUGGAGUGAAUAUAUUCAGGACCUGAUGCAUUUCUCUCUUGCCACCAGCUCUAUCCAGUGGCUGGCCUGGAAGCAAUGGCAUCUAGGUGUCACAUAUGAGAUCAUUAAAAAGAAAAAAUCGAGAAGCUGCAAUGCUGGGAUUUCAACAGUUACAUGGACAGAAGUCUGCAGCAAAACUUCCAUUCUCAGGUAUAUUUUUCCAGUUACAUUAAUGCCCAGUUUUGUAGAUACCUGCAGUAGCCUAUGUAAAGGAAAUCAACAGCCAUUUCUAUGCUUCAGCCUAGUACUUUAGGGCACAAAAUUCAGGCAUAUCUUCAAGUCCUUCUGAGCACACGGUAACACUGAAUUAUAUUGUAACAUUCCAGGUAAGUGUGCUGAUGACUGAAUGACAUGGGAAAGAAACAAGGGCCUCUGGGAUGUCAGACUAAGUCCACUGCUAUCAGGGACACUACAGCACAUAAUUCCUUCUAUCAGAUGUGCAAUGGUCUGAAAAUUGCACUUUUUUUUUCUUUUUUUUUCUUUUUACAUACUAUUGUUUCUCUUUUUAAAGAUAAGGCAGAAUAAUCAAGUUUGAUUAAAUCUGAACUUUUCUUCAAAUUUGGAUCAAGUACUGAUAACUCAGUUCUUCUCAGACUCCCACUCAACACCACAGGUUAGGCAUGCCAUUUAACCCUCUGAAUUACAGCCUCUCAUUAUAUAGAAUUAAAACCUUUCUUAAUCCCUCAGGAAAACAGGUUUGCUCUCCUGUGCUGGAAAGCCUGUUGCAAGGCUGCACACCAAUCAGCUCUUUACAAUGUAACUGCUUCAAAGCCUGCUGCACUCUUGUAAUAACUCAUGCACUCCUCUCUCCCUCCUCCAUGCAGGAACUCUUUCAAGACUUUGUAGAUUAUCUGAUCUAAUAUAUCCUAUAUAGGGAUUGUUACUAGCACAGUAAUUUAUUUAUUUUUUGCAGUUUGCCAGUGUUGAGUUCCAGAACAGUACAGGAGUAAAUUGUAGUAAGACAUAUGGAGAACAGGCUCCAGUGUUCAUAAGGUUAUUGGUUCAUAACUCUGAAUGCCCUAAUCCAGGGCUUCGAGAACUGCAAACAACUGGGCACAAACAGACCUAAACUUCUGAAAGAGUCACCUUCUAUACUGUCUUCAGAUUCCCCUGUGAUUUUUAAUCUAGAUGAUUAAACUGCAGCUGCUGAUCUCAACAAAUUCUUCAGGAGAUACUGUACUUCUGAAAUCUGGAGAUCUUUCCAAAGGCAGAAUUUCAUGAAGCACUGAUAUGUAAGGAAAUAAGUAUGGCAUAGGAUUCUUUCACUUCUUUCAUGGAGGAGCGUUAGAGCUGUGAUUUGUGAAGUUUUGGGGACCCGUAGGUGACUCCUAGGUUUUCCUUACAUUUUCCUGGCUGCAGUUCACUUUUGCUUGCUCUGAGGUUCAGUAUGCAAGCACUCCCCAGCGAGUUUGUGUUCUUCUUUGUUUAUACACUCAAAAAUCCCAGGAUACGUCUAGCUAUUGCUUUCAGUUCAGCAACAUGGUUUCUUGUUCAGUGUGAGCUACCAGCCAAGGAUUCCUAUCCAUCAGCCUGUGUGCUCAUGGGCAUCAAUUAAUUCCCUCCUGUUCACCCAGGAACAUUCACACACAGUGUCCAAAGAAGAGGUGGCUUCCUGUAAUGGAAGUAUAAGCUUCAUUCCUAUCCAGCCUCCCUUCUUGGGCACUUCCAUUUAAUACAGCCCAAAACAGUGAAAACAGUAAUCAAUAUUUUGCUAUAAUCUGUUCCAAGAACAGACCAAUUCACAGACACGUGGUCUGAUUGGGUCUCUUUCUCUUAGACUCUUCUGGGCAACUAAGCCAAUUACUGUGCUGUGCUCUCCAAGACAGACUUCAAAUAAAUUGGCUUUUUAUAUUCAAAGGAUUAGAUACCUCUCUUCAUCCCUUUCCAAGAUGAAGGAAAUGGUAAGCCUGUCACUUUGUAUUUAUCUUGACUCUCUUCCAAAUCAGGCAAAACUUCUAUUCAGAUCUUCUAUUUAUGCCAACUUUCUGAACAAACUGAGGUGCUACACACACACACACACACACACACACACACACACAGUUUCAGUUCCUCAUCCUUAGGCCACCUUAGUGCUGGUGUUCAAAAAGCAAUAACAACUUUCAAGUGCUGUGUCUAACUCCAGAAAAAACAUUGUUUUGAAAGGCACUCCAAAAUACUGCAUUUCAGGAUCCAACUAUUCCCAAGUUUAACCAGUGGAAGCUAAACCAGGACAUAACUGCAUCUAUUGGAGAGGUAGAGGGAACUAUAUUAAUUUUUUCUAGCACUGGACAAUGUGUCCAGUUUUUCCAAAGUCUUAUUAUUUUAUAUUUACAAAAAAAUCUCAUCUUUCCGUAAAACUAGACACUGGAAUACUAAUUACUAAGAAACUUAAGAUAAGGCUCCUGCAAUCCCAUUUUCUUUUUCUGCAUCAUGGAUUUAAAUAUUACGUAGGGUGAAUUUGGCAGCCACACAGAGAAUCUCAUUUAGAAAGAUUAACCUGGGAGCACAGAGAGAUCUGGAAUGUCUCCAUUAGUCUAUUCCUUGCUGCAGAGCAUUUACACUAGAAUAAUUGUUUUUAGCAAGCAUGUGCACACACUCAGAAAUAACAUAUAUAUGCAUUAAAUGAGGCAAUACCUUACCCAGAACAGACGGUCCCUCAACUGUUUGUUUUCUUUUUAUUGUUGAUUUUACAUUUUAAUUAUAUAUAAAAAGUAGAAGAAAGCACAGGUGGUAAGCAGAUUUGGGCUAGAAAAUUAAUUCCCAGAGAAAACAGUUUUAGUUCUUACACAAACAAAUACAGUGAUUAAUUAUUUUUUUGUUUCCCAAGCUGUUACUGUAAGCAAGUAGCAAAGAGUCAAGGCCAGUCAUUUAUAUUCAGAUUAGAUUUCAAAACAAAAAGGACAGACUACAAUCUCCCAAAUGUUUUCUAGAUAUUCCAAUCUGCUCCGCCCAAAAGAAAAAAGAAAAAAAAAAAAAAAGCAAAAAUAAAAGUUUAGAGCACACAAAUGUAAUAAAACAUGUUGUCAAAGCUCCUAUUUACAGUGAUUCACAAAGCUGUUCCCAUUGAUGUCCCAGUACUUUGAUUGCCAAACAAACAACAGCCCUCUACUUGGAAGGCCUGGACCACAGCUCUGUCAAAUUAAUCUGAAGAUCUUGAUUUUCAAAGGCUUUGGAUCAGGCCCAGACUGAAGUGGUGGAGGACAGAGCAGAGAAAGAACAACAACUAUCUAAUUAUAGGCCCGAUCUUGGUGUUUUAUAAUCAGUGACGAAAUGACAAUUAUUUUCACUAGUGCUGGACUGAGUCCUAAAAGGUCUUGCUAAACUAUUCUGCCCCUGCCUGAAGCUCUCUGGAAUAAACAAAGCAGACAGGCUUCACUCAGUAUGGCUAGUCUUCCCCCACCCAGCACACUGUGCCUAUAUUCCUGAUAAAACACAGACUCCGAGUCGUGCAGAAACAGAUAACAGCAUCCCUGCUUCUCACAAAUUUCAGCCCUUGUUACAGGAGGGAGCUUGCCUGGCAGUGACAACAAUACAGCAAAGCUCUGAAGAGAAGAAGGAAGCUGACAACAAUCCUCCUGGAACUAUUCCAGCUCUUCUCUGUUUACACAUCCAAGCUUUUUCUCUCAGUAAUCUCUCCAGACUCCCCUCAGAGAUCGCCUGCUAUUCACUGUGCAGCCAGAAGUCACCUGUUCUUAGCUGGACUUGGCACUGACUACACCAACUGCCAUUUAGGAGAGACAGGAGAGAGAAAAGUUGAAAGAAAAACUUCUGAAAAGCAAUUCCCACCCCAGUGCCCCACAUACAUUUAUCCUUCUAACCUGAAGUCCACUUAUACAUAUUACUUCUGCUUAAGGAAAGUAAUUUCAGUGCCAAAACAUGCUUUUAAGUUUAAAAAAGUGAUAUAUUCAGCACAGAUACAACUCUAGCAUGGUGAACAUGUAGUCAUUACGAUUUAGAUCUAUUGAAAUGGAAAUUGAGACAGAAACUUUUCUAGUUUUUUACUUCACUUUGGAAUUGUAAGAAGACAAGAGCGACUGCAACAGUAUUAAAAGAUCCUCUGGACCAACAUGCCCUUGAUAGCAAGUACUUGGAAGCUUGAGGCACAAUGUUGGCUCCCACUGGUGCCCUUUGGUGUCAGGCAGCGAGGAAGCUGACACCCAUCUAAGGACAGCAUCACAGCCUGGCUGUGCACAGAAAAAAAGCUAGCAAUGAAACAGAGCAACAGGGGCUGUCAAGACGAUGAUCCUUCCCUCUGUCUCAACAAAGUCUCACAGCACAAUUCUCUGCAGUGGCUCAAGGCAGAGACAGUUCUUUUCCGGGAUUCUGUCCUUGUGCAACCCCCACAGGGCAUGAGAAGGUGCCCAGAUCCUGGCAGCUAUUGCUGUAUGCCUGUGGCUCAGAUUUCUGACAAGGGAUUCUGGAAUAAGAUUUCCCUCCCAGCAUAAUGAGGCAUUUAGUCAUUAACAAAAGAGCCUUCUGGGGCAGAACUCCGGCUGCAUCUGAGAUCUUGCCUCCACAAAGAAAUUUCUUUUUCCAGCACACAGGUUUAGUCAGAGGUGGAAAGGAAAGAGUUGCUUUAAAAUACCAAUCCAGGGAUUUUUGGUUGCAGCAGUUGAAGGUUUCUCUUUAUUCUUAGAGCAGGUUCCUUCUCUUUGCUACUGCUUCACAGCUGCCGGUUGAGCUUCUGUGCUUGUCGCUCCUUUGCCUCAAACGCAAACUUGGUGUCCUGCAACUGGGCAAUUGCCUCCUUGGCUUCCUUCAGGUCCUGACAGAUGUGCUCAUACUUCUCUGUCAGCUCCUUGUUCUCCCGGCGCAGCUCCUGUACCACCUGGUUCACCUCCUCUGUCUGCUUGGUGCAGUGGAUCUUCAGCUGCUCUACCUCAGAGAGCAUGAUCUCCAUAUUCUUGACCAGUGACUCUAGUUUCUCCUUUGACAUGAUGUCAGGAUCAGUUCUAUUCAGUCGUCCUAACCCAAACCCAAAAGGGAUAAAGAGAGCAACUCUGUGUAACAUGCACCAGGAAGCCUAAUACUGACAGUCUUGUGGUCUUUUUAUACUCCCUUCUGCUCAUCCUCCUCCCUUCUCUUUCCUUUCCCAAAGUGUCUCUAAUCUUCUUUGCUUGGUUAAUCUACUUAUUUUUACUGCACUGUAGAAGGGCUGACAACCCCACAGCAACAUAUGUGCUGUGCAGCAAAAGCCAGAGCAAUAAUGAGACUCUAUGCCGUCUG